GAAGAGAGCAGAAAAAGAAACGAGAAAAAGCAGUACGGUCGUCGCUUACCUUAUCGCCAUACUCUUCGCUUUCAAGUGAUGCCAUCGCUGGUUCAUCUCGUCCAGACGUCGUUGCAGCAUAACCGCGUCAUCCUGGCUGGCCAGAGAACUCAACAACUUCCGGCCAGUACCAUUCAGGGAUGCGUACACGUCUCGGUGUGUCUCGAUUUCCGAUUGCAGGUCCUGAAACAUCCAAACAAAAGUUUCGAAUGAUGUACAAUGAAGAUCGUGGGUUAAAUAUCACGUAGAAUUUUAGUACGUUUUUCAUUACGGUUUAUAUUGUGCGUUUUAGGCGAUGAAGGCUGUCGAUA
RNAcentral lists this unclassified non-coding RNA (350 nucleotides) under Bombus terrestris (buff-tailed bumblebee). RNAcentral describes it as "misc RNA ENSBTSG00005031923.1". The record is from RNAcentral. Lineage: Eukaryota; Metazoa; Arthropoda; Insecta; Hymenoptera; Apidae.